This 403-nucleotide unclassified non-coding RNA is filed under the name soil metagenome. RNAcentral describes it as "partial contains 5.8S ribosomal RNA, internal transcribed spacer 2, and large subunit ribosomal RNA". The stretch from base 1 to 121 matches the Rfam family "5.8S ribosomal RNA", at positions 35 to 154 of the family's 154-position model. The record is from RNAcentral.
GAUGAAGAACGUAGCGAAAUGCGAUAAGUAAUGUGAAUUGCAGAAUUCAGUGAAUCAUCGAAUCUUUGAACGCACCUUGCGCCCUUUGGCUAUUCCGAAGGGCAUGCCUGUUUGAGUAUCAUGAACACCUCAACUCUCAUGGCUUGCCAUGAUGAGCUUGGACUUUUGGGGGUCUUGCUGGCCUGUGGUCAGCUCCUCUCAAAUGAAUUAGCCUGCCAGUGUUUGGUGGCAUCACAGGUGUGAUAACUAUCUACGCUUGUGGUUUUCCACCAGGUAACCUUCAGUGAUGAAGGUUCGCUGGGGCUCAUAAACGGCUCUCCUCAGUGAGGACAGCUCUUUGAACGUUUGAUCUCAAAUCAGGUAGGACUACCCGCUGAACUUAAGCAUAUCAAUAAGCGGAGGA